Molecule: long non-coding RNA, 220 nt
Filed under: Cicer arietinum (chickpea)
Lineage: Eukaryota; Viridiplantae; Streptophyta; Magnoliopsida; Fabales; Fabaceae
Description: long non-coding RNA (CARI_LNC000769)
Source: RNAcentral
UGAGAAAUACUUAAAAAAGACAAAUUUGAAGGAUUGAGUAUAUUUUUUAAUUGUUAAAUAUAUAACUUUAAUAUAAGAUUUAAAAUUGAUAAAAUAAUGAAAUAUGAAAAGGUACAGAUUUGCUAACCUAAAAAAAAGAAAAUAGGGUACUACUUGAUUCUUUUUCAUGCUUGUACUUUACGUGAGUGCAUUUUUCUUAUUCCAUACAUGCAUAUUUGUC